Molecule: ribosomal RNA, 1578 nt
Filed under: Limosilactobacillus reuteri
Lineage: Bacteria; Bacillati; Bacillota; Bacilli; Lactobacillales; Lactobacillaceae
Description: Lactobacillus reuteri 16S ribosomal RNA
Rfam family: Bacterial small subunit ribosomal RNA
Source: RNAcentral
UUUAUAUGAGAGUUUGAUCCUGGCUCAGGAUGAACGCCGGCGGUGUGCCUAAUACAUGCAAGUCGUACGCACUGGCCCAACUGAUUGAUGGUGCUUGCACCUGAUUGACGAUGGAUCACCAGUGAGUGGCGGACGGGUGAGUAACACGUAGGUAACCUGCCCCGGAGCGGGGGAUAACAUUUGGAAACAGAUGCUAAUACCGCAUAACAACAAAAGCCACAUGGCUUUUGUUUGAAAGAUGGCUUUGGCUAUCACUCUGGGAUGGACCUGCGGUGCAUUAGCUAGUUGGUAAGGUAACGGCUUACCAAGGCGAUGAUGCAUAGCCGAGUUGAGAGACUGAUCGGCCACAAUGGAACUGAGACACGGUCCAUACUCCUACGGGAGGCAGCAGUAGGGAAUCUUCCACAAUGGGCGCAAGCCUGAUGGAGCAACACCGCGUGAGUGAAGAAGGGUUUCGGCUCGUAAAGCUCUGUUGUUGGAGAAGAACGUGCGUGAGAGUAACUGUUCACGCAGUGACGGUAUCCAACCAGAAAGUCACGGCUAACUACGUGCCAGCAGCCGCGGUAAUACGUAGGUGGCAAGCGUUAUCCGGAUUUAUUGGGCGUAAAGCGAGCGCAGGCGGUUGCUUAGGUCUGAUGUGAAAGCCUUCGGCUUAACCGAAGAAGUGCAUCGGAAACCGGGCGACUUGAGUGCAGAAGAGGACAGUGGAACUCCAUGUGUAGCGGUGGAAUGCGUAGAUAUAUGGAAGAACACCAGUGGCGAAGGCGGCUGUCUGGUCUGCAACUGACGCUGAGGCUCGAAAGCAUGGGUAGCGAACAGGAUUAGAUACCCUGGUAGUCCAUGCCGUAAACGAUGAGUGCUAGGUGUUGGAGGGUUUCCGCCCUUCAGUGCCGGAGCUAACGCAUUAAGCACUCCGCCUGGGGAGUACGACCGCAAGGUUGAAACUCAAAGGAAUUGACGGGGGCCCGCACAAGCGGUGGAGCAUGUGGUUUAAUUCGAAGCUACGCGAAGAACCUUACCAGGUCUUGACAUCUUGCGCUAACCUUAGAGAUAAGGCGUUCCCUUCGGGGACGCAAUGACAGGUGGUGCAUGGUCGUCGUCAGCUCGUGUCGUGAGAUGUUGGGUUAAGUCCCGCAACGAGCGCAACCCUUGUUACUAGUUGCCAGCAUUAAGUUGGGCACUCUAGUGAGACUGCCGGUGACAAACCGGAGGAAGGUGGGGACGACGUCAGAUCAUCAUGCCCCUUAUGACCUGGGCUACACACGUGCUACAAUGGACGGUACAACGAGUCGCAACUCGCGAGAGUAAGCUAAUCUCUUAAAGCCGUUCUCAGUUCGGACUGUAGGCUGCAACUCGCCUACACGAAGUCGGAAUCGCUAGUAAUCGCGGAUCAGCAUGCCGCGGUGAAUACGUUCCCGGGCCUUGUACACACCGCCCGUCACACCAUGGGAGUUUGUAACGCCCAAAGUCGGUGGCCUAACCUUUAUGGAGGGAGCCGCCUAAGGCGGGACAGAUGACUGGGGUGAAGUCGUAACAAGGUAGCCGUAGGAGAACCUGCGGCUGGAUCACCUCCUUUCU